Molecule: transfer RNA, 72 nt
Filed under: Dreissena polymorpha
Lineage: Eukaryota; Metazoa; Mollusca; Bivalvia; Myida; Dreissenidae
Rfam family: tRNA
About the family: Transfer RNA (tRNA) molecules are approximately 80 nucleotides in length. Their secondary structure includes four short double-helical elements and three loops (D, anti-codon, and T loops).
Source: Rfam by way of RNAcentral
GCCGUGAUCGUAUAGUGGUUAGUACUUCUUGUUGUGGCCGCGACAACCUAGGUUCGAAUCCUGGUCACGGCA